Molecule: ribosomal RNA, 437 nt
Filed under: Micrococcus luteus
Lineage: Bacteria; Bacillati; Actinomycetota; Actinomycetes; Micrococcales; Micrococcaceae
Description: bacterial SSU rRNA
Rfam family: Bacterial small subunit ribosomal RNA
Source: RNAcentral
GAUGAACGCUGGCGGCGUGCUUAACACAUGCAAGUCGAACGAUGAAGCCCAGCCUGCUGGGCGGAUUAGUGGCGAACGGGUGAGUAACACGUGAGUAACCUGCCCUUGACUCUGGGAUAAGCCCGGGAAAUUGGGUCUAAUACCGGAUAGGAGCGCCUGUCGCAUGACGGGUGCUGGAAAGAUUUUUCGGUCAUGGAUGGACUCGCGGCCUAUCAGCUUGUUGGUGAGGUAACGGCUCACCAAGGCGACGACGGGUAGCCGGCCUGAGAGGGUGACCGGCCACACUGGGACUGAGACACGGCCCAGACUCCUACGGGAGGCAGCAGUGGGGAAUAUUGCACAAUGGGCGGAAGCCUGAUGCAGCGACGCCGCGUGAGGGAUGACGGCCUUCGGGUUGUAAACCUCUUUCAGUAGGGAAGAAGCGAAAGGACGUACCU